CCUCCCCGGGGACUUUUUUUAAGCAGAUUUGGGGCUUUCUUUUGUGUAUUUUUCCCUCUAAAAUAAAAGAGUAAAUUGAUAGAAAUCGGGACUGGGGGGAGGAGGACGGGACACGGGGGCUGCUCCGGAGGUGACAGGGACGUGGAGAAACCGCCCCGGAGGUGACAGGGACACACAGGUGUUGAUAUGGAGGUGACAAGGACAGAGGGGUUUUGUUCGGGAGGUGACAAGGACACACGAGUGUUGCUCUGGGGGUGACUGGGACACAAGUGUUGAUAUGAAGGUGACAGGGACACACUGAUAAUGCUCUGGAGGUGACAAGGACACCAAGAUAUUGCUCUAGGGGUGACAAGGACACAGGAGGUGCUGUGGAGGUGACAAGGACACAGGUGUUGAUACAGAGGUGACAAGGACAGAGGGGUCUGGCUCUGGAGGUGACAGGGACACAGGUGUUUAUAUGGAGGUGACAGGGACACACAGGCUUUGUUCGGGAGGUGACAAGGACACGGGUGUCGAUACACAGGUGACAAUGACAGAAGGGUCUGGCUCUGGGGGUGACUGGGACACAAGUGUUGAUAUGAAGGUGACAAGGACACAGGAGAUGCUCUGGAGGUGACAAGGACACAGGUGUUGAUACAGAGGUGACAAGGACAGAAGGGUCUGGCUCUGGAGGUGUUGGGGACACAGGUGAUGCUGUGGAGGUGACAAGGACACCAAGAUAUUGCUCUAGGGGUGACAAGGACACAGGUGGUGAUGUGGAGGUAUUGGGGACACAGGAGGUGCUGUGGAGGUGACAGGGACACCAAGAUAUUGCUCUGGGGGUGACAGGGACAGAGGGAUCUGGCUCUGGAGGCGUUGGGGACACAGGAGGUGCUCUGGGGGUGACAAGGACACAGGAGGUGCUGUGGAGGUGACAGGGACACACAGAUGUUGCUCUGGAGGUGACAAGGACACACUGAUAUUGCUCUGGAGGUGACAAGGACACACAGAUGUUGCUCUGGAGGUGACAAGGACACAGGUGUUGAUACAGAGGUGACAAGGACAGAGGGAUCUGGCUCUGGAGGUGUUGGGGACACAGGUGUUGCUGUGGAGGUGACAAGGACACCAAGAUAUUGCUCUAGGGGUGACAAGGACACAGGAGGUGCUGUGGAGGUGACAGGGACACCCUGAUAUUGCUCUGGAGGUGACAAGGACACAGGUGGUGCUGUGGAGGUGACAGGGACACCCUGAUAUUGCUCUGGAGGUGACAAGGACACAGGUGGUGCUGUGGAGGUGACAGGGACACCCUGAUAUUGCUCUGGAGGUGACAAGGACACAGGUGGUGAUGUGGAGGUAUUGGGGACACAGGUGGUGCUGUGGAGGUGACAGGGACACCCUGAUAUUGCUCUGGAGGUGACAGGGACACAGGUG
This is a long non-coding RNA of Myiozetetes cayanensis, 1410 nucleotides long. RefSeq lists it as uncharacterized. The record is from RefSeq and is a predicted model, not a curated record. The transcript has 3 exons. NCBI's taxonomy places the organism in Eukaryota, Metazoa, Chordata, Aves, Passeriformes, Tyrannidae.